Molecule: ribosomal RNA, 482 nt
Filed under: uncultured bacterium
Lineage: Bacteria
Description: partial 16S ribosomal RNA
Rfam family: Bacterial small subunit ribosomal RNA
Source: RNAcentral
AGUGAACGCUGGCGGCGUGCUUAGCACAUGCAAGUCGAACGGAAAGGCCCAGCUUGCUGGGUACUCGAGUGGCGAACGGGUGAGUAACACGUGGGUGAUCUGCCCUGCACUCUGGGAUAAGCCUGGGAAACUGGGUCUAAUACCGGAUAUGACCAACUGUCGCAUGGUGGUUGGUGGAAAGCUUUUGCGGUGUGGGAUGGGCCCGCGGCCUAGCAGCUUGUUGGUGGGGUAAUGGCCUACCAAGGCGACGACGGGUAGCCGACCUGAGAGGGUGAUCGGCCACACUGGGACUGAGACACGGCCCAGACUCCGACGGGAGGCAGCAGAGGGGAAUAUUGCACAAUGGGCGCAAGCCUGAUGCAGCGACGCCGCGUGAGGGAUGACGGCCUUCGGGUUGUAAACCUCUUUCACCAGGGACGAAGCGGAAGUGACGGUACCUGGAGAAGAAGCACCGGCCAACUACGUGCCAGCAGCCGCCGCGG